This 449-nucleotide ribosomal RNA is filed under the name uncultured prokaryote. RNAcentral's name for it is "bacterial SSU rRNA". It matches the Rfam family "Bacterial small subunit ribosomal RNA", at positions 355 to 796 of the family's 1533-position model. The record is from RNAcentral.
UGGGGAAUAUUGGACAAUGGGCGCAAGCCUGAUCCAGCCAUGCCGCGUGGGUGAAGAAGGCCUUCGGGUUGUAAAGCCCUUUUGUUGGGAAAGAAAAGCAGCCGGCCAAUACCCGGUUGUUCUGACGGUACCCAAAGAAUAAGCACCGGCUAACUUCGUGCCAGCAGCCGCGGUAAUACGAAGGGUGCAAGCGUUACUCGGAAUUACUGGGCGUAAAGCGUGCGUAGGUGGUGGUUUAAGUCCGUUGUGAAAGCCCUGGGCUCAACCUGGGAACUGCAGUGGAUACUGGAUCACUAGAGUGUGGCAGAGGGUAGUGGAAUUCCCGGUGUAGCAGUGAAAUGCGUAGAGAUCGGGAGGAACAUCAGUGGCGAAGGCGACUGCCUGGGCCAACACUGACACUGAGGCACGAAAGCGUGGGGAGCAAACAGGAUUAGAUACCCCCGUAGUCC